GUAGAUGCGGGGCCAGGAGCGUCGUUAGUGCGUAGAGGGUGAGCGUGUGACUGCAUUAGUGGGGGUAGAGGGGGCGCAGGGGGUCCGGUAAGGUUGGUGUGAAAGCCCACGGCUGAACCGGGGGGGGUCAUUUGAAUCUGGGGGAGUUGAGUGCAGAAGAGGAAAGCGGAAUUCCACGUGUAGCGGUGAAAUGCGUAGAGAUGUGGAGGAACACCAGUGGCGAAGGCGGCUUUCUGGUCUGUAACUGACGCUGAGGCGCGAAAGCGUGGGGAGCAAACAGGAUUAGAUACCCUGGUAGUC
RNAcentral lists this ribosomal RNA (300 nucleotides) under uncultured Bacillus sp. Its description in RNAcentral is "partial 16S ribosomal RNA". It matches the Rfam family "Bacterial small subunit ribosomal RNA", at positions 497 to 795 of the family's 1533-position model. Lineage: Bacteria; Bacillati; Bacillota; Bacilli; Caryophanales; Bacillaceae. The record is from RNAcentral.